GCUCCGGUCCUAUGCGGCGCAAGGCUGUGAACCUCGUCAGGUCCGGAAGGAAGCAGCGAUAAGCGGAUUCUUGCGGGUGCCAUUGGUCGCCGGAGUUCC
RNAcentral lists this signal recognition particle RNA (99 nucleotides) under Synergistes sp. Its description in RNAcentral is "signal recognition particle sRNA small type". It matches the Rfam family "Bacterial small signal recognition particle RNA". From Rfam's summary of the family: The signal recognition particle (SRP) is a universally conserved ribonucleoprotein involved in the co-translational targeting of proteins to membranes. Archaeal SRP consists of a 7S RNA and homologues of the eukaryotic SRP19 and SRP54 proteins. The record is from RNAcentral. Lineage: Bacteria; Thermotogati; Synergistota; Synergistia; Synergistales; Synergistaceae.